This 366-nucleotide ribosomal RNA is filed under the name Bacillus sp. (in: firmicutes). RNAcentral describes it as "bacterial SSU rRNA". It matches the Rfam family "Bacterial small subunit ribosomal RNA", at positions 961 to 1326 of the family's 1533-position model. The record is from RNAcentral. Lineage: Bacteria; Bacillati; Bacillota; Bacilli; Caryophanales; Bacillaceae.
GCGAAGAACCUUACCAGGUCUUGACAUCCUCUGACAAUCCUAGAGAUAGGACUUUCCCCUUCGGGGGACAGAGUGACAGGUGGUGCAUGGUUGUCGUCAGCUCGUGUCGUGAGAUGUUGGGUUAAGUCCCGCAACGAGCGCAACCCUUGAUCUUAGUUGCCAGCAUUYAGUUGGGCACUCUAAGGUGACUGCCGGUGACAAACCGGAGGAAGGUGGGGAUGACGUCAAAUCAUCAUGCCCCUUAUGACCUGGGCUACACACGUGCUACAAUGGAUGGUACAAAGGGCUGCAAGACCGCGAGGUUUAGCCAAUCCCAUAAAACCWUUMUCAGUUCGGAUUGUAGGCUGCAACUCGCCUACAUGAAGC